This 385-nucleotide ribosomal RNA is filed under the name Sphingobium sp. S35. RNAcentral's name for it is "bacterial SSU rRNA". It matches the Rfam family "Bacterial small subunit ribosomal RNA", at positions 14 to 426 of the family's 1533-position model. Lineage: Bacteria; Pseudomonadati; Pseudomonadota; Alphaproteobacteria; Sphingomonadales; Sphingobiaceae. The record is from RNAcentral.
UGAUCCUGGCUCAGAACGAACGCUGGCGGCAUGCCUAAUACAUGCAAGUCGAACGAGACCUUCGGGUCUAGUGGCGCACGGGUGCGUAACGCGUGGGAAUCUGCCCUUGGGUUCGGAAUAACAUCGGGAAACUGAUGCUAAUACCGGAUGAUGUCGAUAAGACCAAAGAUUUAUCGCCCAGGGAUGAGCCCGCGUAGGAUUAGCUAGUUGGUGGGGUAAAGGCUUACCAAGGCGACGAUCCUUAGCUGGUCUGAGAGGAUGAUCAGCCACACUGGGACUGAGACACGGCCCAGACUCCUACGGGAGGCAGCAGUAGGGAAUAUUGGACAAUGGGCGCAAGCCUGAUCCAGCAAUGCCGCGUGAGUGAUGAAGGCCUUAGGGUUGU